GCCUGAGUUCCCCAGCAUUCCCAGAUGAGCCUACAAUAUUUACUUACUAUGAUCAAGCCUCAUUGUGGGUGGUGUUGCUUUCUUAGAAACUGAGAUUAGAAAAAAUUCCAGGAAAAAUGAGGGCAUAGAAUCUGGC
This is a non-coding RNA of Cricetulus griseus (Chinese hamster), 136 nucleotides long. Lineage: Eukaryota; Metazoa; Chordata; Mammalia; Rodentia; Cricetidae. The record is from Ensembl.